This 252-nucleotide ribosomal RNA is filed under the name uncultured bacterium. RNAcentral's name for it is "partial 16S ribosomal RNA". It matches the Rfam family "Bacterial small subunit ribosomal RNA", at positions 524 to 776 of the family's 1533-position model. The record is from RNAcentral.
UACGUAGGGGGCUAGCGUUGUCCGGAAUCACUGGGCGUAAAGGGUGCGCAGGCGGAACAGCAAGUCAGAUGUAAAAGUCAGUAGCUUAACUACUGGAAGCAUUUGAAACUGCUGAUCUUGAGAAUAGUAGAGGAAAGUGGAAUUUUUAGUGUAGCGGUGAAAUGCGUAGAUAUUAAAAAGAAUACCAGUGGCGAAGGCGACUUACUGGGCUCAUUCUGACGCUGAGGAACGUAAGCGAGGGUAGCAAACGGG